AUGAACGCUGGCGGCGUGCCUAAUCCAUGCCAGUCGAGCGAACAGACGAGGAGCUUGCUCCUCUGACGUUAGCGGCGGACGGGUGAGUAACACGCGGAUAACCUACCUAUAAGACUGGGAUAACUUCGGGAAACCGGAGCUAAUACCGGAUAAUAUAUUGAACCGCAUGGUUCAAUAGUGAAAGACGGUUUUGCUGUCACUUAUAGAUGGAUCCGCGCCGCAUUAGCUAGUUGGUAAGGUAACGGCUUACCAAGGCAACGAUGCGUAGCCGACCUGAGAGGGUGAUCGGCCACACUGGAACUGAGACACGGUCCAGACUCCUACGGGAGGCAGCAGUAGGGAAUCUUCCGCAAUGGGCGAAAGCCUGACGGAGCAACGCCGCGUGAGUGAUGAAGGUCUUCGGAUCGUAAAACUCUGUUAUUAGGGAAGAACAAAUGUGUAAGUAACUAUGCACGUCUUGACGGUACCUAAUCAGAAAGCCACGGCUAACUACGUG
RNAcentral lists this ribosomal RNA (496 nucleotides) under uncultured bacterium. RNAcentral describes it as "partial 16S ribosomal RNA". It matches the Rfam family "Bacterial small subunit ribosomal RNA", at positions 29 to 507 of the family's 1533-position model. The record is from RNAcentral.